GACGAACGCUGGCGGCGUGCUUAACACAUGCAAGUCGAGCGAUGAAGCUCCUUCGGGAGUGGAUUAGCGGCGGACGGGUGAGUAACACGUGGGUAACCUGCCUCAUAGAGGGGAAUAGCCUUUCGAAAGGAAGAUUAAUACCGCAUAAGAUUGUAGCUUCGCAUGAAGCAGCAAUUAAAGGAGUAAUCCGCUAUGAGAUGGACCCGCGUCGCAUUAGCUAGUUGGUGAGGUAACGGCUCACCAAGGCGACGAUGCGUAGCCGACCUGAGAGGGUGAUCGGCCACAUUGGGACUGAGACACGGCCCAGACUCCUACGGGAGGCAGCAGUGGGGAAUAUUGCACAAUGGGGGAAACCCUGAUGCAGCAACGCCGCGUGAGUGAUGACGGUCUUCGGAUUGUAAAGCUCUGUCUUCAGGGACGAUAAUGACGGUACCUGAGGAGGAAGCCACGGCUAACUACGUGCCAGCCGCCGCGGUAA
Molecule: ribosomal RNA, 478 nt
Filed under: uncultured bacterium
Lineage: Bacteria
Description: partial 16S ribosomal RNA
Rfam family: Bacterial small subunit ribosomal RNA
Source: RNAcentral